Molecule: ribosomal RNA, 497 nt
Filed under: uncultured bacterium
Lineage: Bacteria
Description: partial 16S ribosomal RNA
Rfam family: Bacterial small subunit ribosomal RNA
Source: RNAcentral
GAUGAACGCUGGCGGCGUGCCUAAAACAUGCAAGUCGAGCGAACAGACGAGGAGCUUGCUCCUCUGACGUUAGCGGCGGACGGGUGAGUAACACGUGGAUAACCUACCUAUAAGACUGGGAUAACUUCGGGAAACCGGGGCUAAUACCGGAUAACAUGUUGAACCGCAUGGUUCAACAGUGAAAGGCGGUCUUGCUGUCACUUAUAGAUGGAUCCGCGCCGCAUUAGCUAGUUGGUAAGGUAACGGCUUACCAAGGCAACGAUGCGUAGCCGACCUGAGAGGGUGAUCGGCCACACUGGAACUGAGACACGGUCCAGACUCCUACGGGAGGCAGCAGUAGGGAAUCUUCCGCAAUGGGCGAAAGCCUGACGGAGCAACGCCGCGUGAGUGAAGAAGGUCUUCGGAUCGUAAAACUCUGUUAUUAGGGAAGAACAAAUGUGUAAGUAACUAUGCACGUCUUGACGGUACCUAAUCAGAAAGCCACGGCUAACUACGUG